GUCCUCCAGUUUUAGGAAUGCAG
This 23-nucleotide non-coding RNA is filed under the name Cricetulus griseus (Chinese hamster). Lineage: Eukaryota; Metazoa; Chordata; Mammalia; Rodentia; Cricetidae. The record is from RNAcentral.